Molecule: ribosomal RNA, 491 nt
Filed under: uncultured bacterium
Lineage: Bacteria
Description: partial 16S ribosomal RNA
Rfam family: Bacterial small subunit ribosomal RNA
Source: RNAcentral
AGUGAACGCUGGCGGUAGGCCUAACACAUGCGAGUCGAACGGCAGCACAGUAAGAGCUUGCUCUUACGGGUGGCGAGUGGCGGACGGGUGAGGAAUACAUCGGAAUCUACUUUUUCGUGGGGGAUAACGUAGGGAAACUUACGCUAAUACCGCAUACGACCUACGGGUGAAAGCAGGGGAUCUUCGGACCUUGCGCGAUUGAAUGAGCCGAUGUCGGAUUAGCUAGUUGGCGGGGUAAAGGCCCACCAAGGCGACGAUCCGUAGCUGGUCUGAGAGGAUGAUCAGCCAAACUUGAACUGAGGAACGGGCCAGACUCCUACGGGGGGGAGCAAGUGGGAAUAUUGGACAAAGGGGGGAAGCCUGAACCAGCCAUACCGGGGUGGUGAAGGAGGCCUUCGGGUUGUAAAGGCCCUUUGUUGGGAAAAAAAAGCAGCAAGUUAAUACCCCGCUGUUCUGACGGUACCCAAAGAAUAAGCACCGGCUAACUUCGU